This 254-nucleotide ribosomal RNA is filed under the name uncultured bacterium. RNAcentral describes it as "partial 16S ribosomal RNA". It matches the Rfam family "Bacterial small subunit ribosomal RNA", at positions 524 to 776 of the family's 1533-position model. The record is from RNAcentral.
UACGGAGGGUGCAAGCGUUAUCCGGAAUCACUGGGUUUAAAGGGUGCGUAGGCGGUCAGAUAAGUCAGUCGUGAAAUUCCCCGGCUUAACCGGCGGGACUGCGAUUGAUACUGUUUGACUUGAAUCAAGUUGAGGCAGGCGGAAUGUGACAUGUAGCGGUGAAAUGCUUAGAUAUGUCAUAGAACACCGAUUGCGAAGGCAGCUUGCUGGGCUUUGAUUGACGCUGAGGCACGAAAGCGUGGGGAGCAAACAGG